CGCUCAUGAGCCCUUGAAGAUAGCAGACAUACAGGGGUACUGACGGCAGGUGAAUUAGACAGUUACUUUGGUCAGCAUAAUACGGGAGAUUAUUGAAAUUUCCUUUCCAACUAUUGCAGUUUUCUGCAGACCUCGUUCAGAUUGUGUGUGUAGUGGAUGUCCCUUUUGUCCUUCUGAGGUAGUGAAGCUUCAGUGCAGGAUUGAAAUGUUAGAGGUAUCACACUCAACUGGCUGUGGAGGAGCAAUUUUGGGUGGUAGGAGUAGUAGAAGCCUCAACAGAUACUGGGGAAUAGAUACCCAAAAAGUACACUGCAACCAUUUCAGGGCUCAACCAUUCUUUCAGUAAGCUCUGCAUAAAUGGCACUGAACUCUGC
Molecule: non-coding RNA, 374 nt
Organism: Pelobates cultripes (western spadefoot toad)
Lineage: Eukaryota; Metazoa; Chordata; Amphibia; Anura; Pelobatidae
Source: the annotation of a GenBank genome assembly